Molecule: long non-coding RNA, 1908 nt
Organism: Ctenopharyngodon idella (grass carp)
Lineage: Eukaryota; Metazoa; Chordata; Actinopteri; Cypriniformes; Xenocyprididae
Exons: 3
Source: RefSeq, a predicted model, not a curated record
AUGAAAAAAUAAUUUUAUGUUGGAAAGUUAAUCUUAUAAACUGUGUUGAACAUAAUCGAUGGAUUCUAAAUGAUCAUAGCUGGUUGACCUUCUAAUUUGUAUUAAAUAUAAUAAAAAACCCGCUCGAUCACAUUUAGCGGGUAUGACCAACGGCUAGCAACAUUUUAGACGGAUUUACGGUUGGUUGACCAGGCUACAUGAAUUGAUUAAAAAAAAUGGUAAAUUGAUUGUUUAUGGUCUAAAAUAUAUAUAUUAGAUCGGUAAAGGGACAAACAUAAUGUUUUUACUCCAUAAACACUGAAGCAAGACCUCGGUUUUUGUGGAGCGAAACCUCGCGUAUUUUCGCUGAGGCGCUGUUUGCUAAUUCGUUGAUACCAGACAGAACUACUAAAUGAAAACUAAAUCCAAAUUUGCAUGUGUAUACCAAGUGAGAUGAUAAAACGAUGAGUAAAUCAUGAUUUAUUGACAAAACAAUUCGAUUUCUACACAUGUUUAAUUUUUGUAAGAAAUCAAUCAGGGCAUGUCAACGGCAGUCCAAACCCGUCUGAAAUGUAAAAACACGACUGUUGUGAUGUUGUUACGAGGGAAACGUGCAAGUUGUGUUAUAAACUAAACACACAAUCAUCAAUCAACACUGAGGGUCUGCACGUCCACAUGGUCUUCAACGCGUUCAGCCACACCCCCUGUUGAAUCUAUAGGCGGACCGGUCUUCAUAUAUAAUGUGGAGGAACAUUGUGUACCUUCAGUUCUCUGGCACUUUCACCUCACGGCGGUCCAUAUCAUCAGGUUCACGCUUCGGCAUUGCACAACCUUUCGGGAAGUUCGUUUCAUCCGUGUGGUGCACAAAAACAGCAGCGAUGAUCAUCAGGCUCGGCAGACUGACUCCUGGAUACUUCCGUCUCCUGCAGAGGCAGGUAGCAGGAGAGGUUCAGGCCCCGGUGCAUGACCGCUCCGUCAACCAGAUCGCCAUGAUGCUGGCCAUCAUGGGCCUUAGCCUGUCCUACUACAGUGCCAAACAGAUGACAGAGAAGGUUCGCCAUGAGCCCGCCCCGUGAAGAUGUGUUCUUCGGCAUCCGGGGAAGACCAAGCCAAACUGAAGAUGCAGUUGGAUAUUCAGAUGUUGAAGAUGUUCAGACUCUGUCACACUACACCUUUCUAUAACUGCUGGAUCUCCAGGGAUCACGCACACCAUGGGACUUCUGCUUAGGAGUUCUCUUGCUUUAGUUUAGCUCUCAAUGGGGUCUGGAAGGGCUUGAAUGUUGUGGCCUGAGUUUCAAUAGCUGCUGUGGUACAUGCAUCAGAGAGUCAGUCAGUUCUGCUGGGGAAAAUACAGGGAAAAAACUCGAGCUCCAUCAGCGCAGGACUAGGUAUGGAGCUCAACUCUGAGCCAUAAUGUCUUUUAAAGGGAAGGACCUCUGCAUUUGAGAUGUACCAAGCAACUAUUGAAAGCAGGGCCACUGCACAAGGGUGAAAUGCUGGUUUUAUUUCAGAUUUCCCCCAAAAAGAUGCUAUUGAUGAACGUCAGAGCCUUGAGGACUUAUAGUGGAGGUACUGCUUUACAAUACUACACUUGUGUUAGACACUUUAGGAAAUUUAUUGCAGUACUACAGAGACCGUUUGAGGACCUUAUGUUAAAGUUACUUGCUCCUUUCAUAAUAACACAAAAAACCUCUUCAUAUCAUCUUGUUUGUCCUGACAAAUGGCUCCAAUCCACUGUUUUUUUCUAUGUGCAAUUGCAUGAGUUUGAAGCUGUUUUUUUUUUUUUUUUUUUUUUUUUUUUUAGUGAAACCAAUCCAUAUGUUGUUUCUAAUACUUUUUAUGAUAAUGUGAUGAUAAUGAUGAAUGUACUGUGUUGUUAUAUUUUUAAGACACAAUGAUCAAAUAAAGCUGUGAAUUAUUUGAACACGA